CUCUUCACAUUGCUGAGGACAUAUGAAGUGAAUAUGGGCGUCGAUAGCGCCAGCCGUCAAAAUCAGUUUUUCGCCUGCGAUUACCUCUGUAGCGGAGCCGACAACGAGAUCCUCGUGGACUCCAGCCAUCACGUCUGGGUUGCCAGCCUUUCCGAUUCCGCAAAUAACCCCGUUCUUAACUCCGAUGUCGGCCUUGUAGAUUCCUGACCAGUCGAUAACAAGGGCAUUUGUGAUAAGCAGGUCGAUACAUUCAGAAGCCAGGCGGUUGGUCGCCUGCCCCAUGCCCUCUCGAA
This 293-nucleotide small RNA is filed under the name Serendipita vermifera MAFF 305830. Its description in RNAcentral is "5' ureB small RNA". It matches the Rfam family "5' ureB small RNA". Lineage: Eukaryota; Fungi; Basidiomycota; Agaricomycetes; Sebacinales; Serendipitaceae. The record is from Rfam by way of RNAcentral.